Molecule: ribosomal RNA, 450 nt
Filed under: uncultured bacterium
Lineage: Bacteria
Description: partial 16S ribosomal RNA
Rfam family: Bacterial small subunit ribosomal RNA
Source: RNAcentral
GUGGGGAAUAUUGGACAAUGGGCGAAAGCCUGAUCCAGCCAUGCCGCGUGUGUGAAGAAGGUCUUCGGAUUGUAAAGCACUUUAAGUUGGGAGGAAGGGCAGUAAGUUAAUACCUUGCUGUUUUGACGUUACCGACAGAAUAAGCACCGGCUAACUUCGUGCCAGCAGCCGCGGUAAUACGAAGGGUGCAAGCGUUAAUCGGAAUUACUGGGCGUAAAGCGCGCGUAGGUGGUUUUGUAAGUUGGAGGUGAAAUCCCCGGGCUCAACCUGGGAACUGCCUCCAAAACUGCAUGACUAGAGUACGGUAGAGGGUAGUGGAAUUUCCUGUGUAGCGGUGAAAUGCGUAGAUAUAGGAAGGAACACCAGUGGCGAAGGCGACUACCUUGACUGAUACUGACACUGAGGUGCGAAAGCGUGGGGAGCAAACAGGAUUAGAAACCCUGGUAGUCC